CGCGUAGGCGGCCCUGCGUGUCUUCCGUGAAAUCCCUCGGCUCAACUGAGGACGUGCGGAAGAAACUGCGGGGCUUGAGUCCGGGAGAGGGGGUGGAAUUCCCAGUGUAGCGGUGAAAUGCGUAGAUAUUGGGAGGAACACCGGUGGCGAAGGCGGCCCCCUGGACCGGUACUGACGCUGAGGCGCGAAAGCGUGGGGAGCAAACGGGAUUAGAUACCCCGGUAGUCCACGCCGUAAACGAUGGGCACUUGGUGUCGCGGGUAUCGACCCCUGCGGUGCCGAAGCUAACGCAUUAAGUGCCCCGCCUGGGGAGUACGGUCGCAAGGCUGAA
RNAcentral lists this ribosomal RNA (331 nucleotides) under uncultured bacterium. Its description in RNAcentral is "bacterial SSU rRNA". It matches the Rfam family "Bacterial small subunit ribosomal RNA", at positions 568 to 898 of the family's 1533-position model. The record is from RNAcentral.